GGCAACAUGUGGCCUUGAGGCCAAAGGUUCCCCACCCCUACUCUAGACCCAUUUCUCUAACUGAAUUAUAUUUUUGUUUAAAAAAAAAAAAGGAAACAAAACCAACACUUUCCUUUUGGUUCUACUGUUGAUAGUAAUGUUGGUUAAGUAUCUUACAGACUGCCCUUAGAUGAGGAAUCAUAGAAAAUAUAAAAAGAGUAGGAAAGGCUCCUCUAGACAUCCGAUAGUACAGAAAGACAUACCAUUAGUAGUGUGGUCUAAUAAAUACACUGGCAGUUUGUCCUUCCCUUCCUUUAGGAGACUUCCUCAAUCUAAUAGUACUUACUGUCAAAGUAUUUCCUGAUGAAAUGCCUCAAUUCCCCCUUAGCUUGAUAUCAUUUUUUUCUGUUCUACUUUGCUGGACUAAGCCAUCCUUUUCCUAGCUCUAUGCUCUUCUGUUUGCUGAAUGCUUUGUGGUUAUUGGUUAAUCCUCAUAUCAGUUAUCACUCAUUGUUAUCCUAUCCAUUUCCAGAAGGAAAAAAAAAACUUUCUCCAGAGAAAGGUGCCUGCCUUCAGGAGGCUUUUUAUUAGUAGGUGGUAAAAACAUGACCUUUUCUCCAAGGGCUGAAAACAGAGUCCAGAAGCAUGUCAAGGAUAACGAUGAAGAAACUGUGGCCAAGAUAGGUGACGUUUCCUGGCCUAGGUCACACAAGGAGUCAGUGGUGGAAGGGUGAUUUGAAUCCAGAGAGGCCGAUCACCUCUGGAGCUGGUGUUCUUCCCAUUCUACCAUGUUGCCCAGCAUCACAACAGACACCCAUUGUUUCAGGAAACACGGAAGGCCCAAGAUGGUAACAGAUGAACCACCAGUUAUAUCCAAUUCUCAGGAUGCCUCCCAAUUAUAGAUGCCCCUCCCUUCCAUCCUUCCUGUGCUUCCCCAGCUGCAAGAGUGGCCACUCCAAGGUCAUUGUCUUAAUCUGAUGAGAGCCCUUGAACUUCAGGUCCCUAUUUUUAAGUGUCACUUUCAGACAGACCUUGGAAUAUCUCCAUCUCCUUUCUGGCCACAGAUGAACUCAGGAAGGAGAGGUCAACUUUGGGUUGGCAGUGCUGAGUUACAAGAACAUAAAAAACAUUUGACCACUGACUAUUACCUGGCUGGACACUAGUUUAAUUUACCAUUUUGGCAGGCAAAUGGGAAGCAGCAUGAUGUAGGGGAAGAAGCUGGACUGAAGCAGCUAGGAGAUACAGAGCAGAGGUGUCAACCACGUAGCCCACAGGCAUGACCCUCAACACUCCUGGGUGCAGCUGAAACCAGGUUACAAUGUAAUUGGGGAAUAUUUAAUAAAAUAAAUAAAAAUACAA
This is a non-coding RNA of Phascolarctos cinereus (koala), 1338 nucleotides long. The record is from RefSeq and is a predicted model, not a curated record. NCBI's taxonomy places the organism in Eukaryota, Metazoa, Chordata, Mammalia, Diprotodontia, Phascolarctidae.